This 435-nucleotide ribosomal RNA is filed under the name uncultured bacterium. RNAcentral describes it as "partial 16S ribosomal RNA". It matches the Rfam family "Bacterial small subunit ribosomal RNA", at positions 29 to 507 of the family's 1533-position model. The record is from RNAcentral.
AGCGAACGCUGGCGGCAGGCUUAACACAUGCAAGUCGAGCGGGCACUUUCGGGUGUCAGCGGCGGACGGGUGAGUAACGCGUGGGAACGUGCCCUCUGGUUCGGAAUAAAUCAGGGAAACUUGAGCUAAUACCGGAUACGCCCUUUUGGGGAAAGGCUUGCUGCCGGAGGAUCGGCCCGCGUCUGAUUAGCUAGUUGGUGAGGUAACGGCUCACCAAGGCGACGAUCAGUAGCUGGUCUGAGAGGAUGAACAGCCACACUGGGACUGAGACACGGCCCAGACUCCUACGGGAGGGAGCAGUGGGGAAUAUUGGACAAUGGGCGCAAGCCUGAUCCAGCCAUGCCGCGUGAGUGAUGAAGGCCUUAGGGUUGUAAAGCGCUUUUAUCCGGGACGAUAAUGACGGUACCGGAGGAAUAAGCCCCGGCUAACUUCGUG